AUGUAUUUGGAUCUGAAGAAUACUUUCUGGUGGAGAGUGAAGGCAGAGCAUCGGAAGCCAGCAGGAUUGCUACAACCGUUGCCAAUACCCGAAUGGAAGUGGGAUAAAAUAGGCAUGGAUUUUAUCACAGGAUUACCCAGGACUCGUUCAGGCUAUGACUCGAUAUGGGUUGUAGUCGACCGUUUGACGAAAGUGGCUCAUUUCAUUCCAGUGAAGACCACUUACACCAGUGCUAAGUUGGCAAAGAUAUACAUGACCAGGAUCGUAUGUUUGCAUGGAGUUCCGAGGACCAUUGUAUCAGACAGAGGAACCCAAUUUACCUCGAAGUUUUGGAAGCAGUUACAUGAAACAUUGGGAACCAGGCUGGAAUUUAGUACAGCUUUUCACCCGCAGACAGAUGGACAGACCGAGAGAGUCAACCAGAUUUUGGAGGACAUGUUGAGAGCUUGUGCACUAGAUUAUGGAUCUAGUUGGGACGAUAAUUUGCCAUAUGCAGAGUUUUCGUAUAACAACAGUUAUCAAACCAGUUUGAAGAUGGCCCCUUUCGAAGCCUUGUACGGAAGGAGGUGUAGAACACCGUUGUUAUGGGACGAAGUUGGAGACCGUCAGUUGUUUGGACCAGAUUUGAUUAAGGAGUCUGAACAUAAAGUAAGGUUGAUUCGCGACAGGCUCAAGGUAGCCCAGUCCGGGCAGAAGAGUUAUGCUGAUUCUAAACGAAAGGAGACAGUUCACGAAGUUGGAGACCGAGUUUAUCUUCGAGUAUCACCACUUCGAGGAGUGAAGCGCUUUGGAGUUAAGGGAAAGUUAGCGCCCCGUUUUAUCGGACCCUACAGAGUUGUGGAACGUAUGGGAGAGGUUGCCUACAAACUGGAAUUGCCCGAAGGAUUGUCUGGAGUUCAUGAUGUAUUUCACGUUUCCCAG
This 921-nucleotide ribosomal RNA is filed under the name Triticum aestivum (bread wheat). RNAcentral's name for it is "partial small subunit ribosomal RNA". The record is from RNAcentral. Lineage: Eukaryota; Viridiplantae; Streptophyta; Magnoliopsida; Poales; Poaceae.